GAGUUUGAUCCUGGCUCAGAAUCAACGCUGGCGGCGUGCCUAACACAUGCAAGUCGAACGAGAAAGUGGAGCAAUCCAUGAGUAAAGUGGCGACCGGGUGAGUAACACGUGACUAACCUACCUCCGAGUGGGGAAUAACUCCGGGAAACCGGGGCUAAUACCGCAUAACAUCGCGAGAUCAAAGCAGCAAUGCGCUUGGAGAGGGGGUCGCGGCUGAUUAGCUAGUUGGCGGGGUAAUGGCCCACCAAGGCUUUGAUCGGUAGCCGGCCUGAGAGGGCGCACGGCCACACUGGAACUGAAACACGGUCCAGACUCCUACGGGAGGCAGCAGUGGGGAAUUUUGCGCAAUGGGGGAAACCCUGACGCAGCAACGCCGCGUGGAGGAUGAAGUCCCUUGGGACGUAAACUCCUUUCGACCCGGACGAUAAUGACGGUACGGGUGGAAGAAGCCCCGGCUAACUUCGUGCCAGCAGCCGCGGUAAUACGUAGGGUGCGAGCGUUAAUCGGAAUUACUGGGCGUAAAGAGUGCGUAGGCGGUGUUCCCAGUCUGUUGUGAAAUCUCCCGGCUUAACCGGGAGGGUGCGGUGAAUACUGAGGGACUAGAGUACGGGAGAGGAAAGUGGAAUUCCUGGUGUAGCGGUGAAAUGCGUAGAUAUCAGGAGGAACACCGGUGGUGUAGACGGCUUUCUGGACCGACACUGACGCUGAGACACGAAAGCGUGGGUAGCAAACAGGAUUAGAUACCCUGGUAGUCCACGCCCUAAACGAUGCAUAUUUGGUGUGGGCAGUUCAUUCUGUCCGUGCCGGAGCUAACGCGUUAAAUAUGCCGCCUGGGGAGUACAGUCGCAAGGCUGAAACUCAAAGGAAUUGACGGGGGCCCGCACAAGCGGUGGAGCAUGUGGCUUAAUUCGAUGCAACGCGAAGAACCUUACCUGGCCUUGACAUGCAUCUCUAAGCUGGUGAAAGCCAGUGACUCCCGAAAGGGAGAAUUUGCACAGGUGCUGCAUGGCUGUCGUCAGCUCGUGUCGUGAGAUGUUGGGUUAAGUCCCGCAACGAGCGCAACCCCUGUGAACUGUUGCCACCAAGCCGAGAGGCUUGAGCACUCUGUUCAGACUGCCCUGUGAAACGGGGAGGAAGGUGGGGACGACGUCAAGUCAGUAUGGCCCUUACGGCCAGGGCUGCACACGUACUACAAUGCCCAGUACAGAACGAUCCGAGACCGCAAGGUGGAGGUAAUCUAGUAAAACUGGGCCCAGUUCGGAUUGGAGUCUGCAACUCGACUCCAUGAAGCCGGAAUCGCUAGUAAUGGCGCAUCAGCUACGGCGCCGUGAAUACGUUCCCGGGCCUUGUACACAC
RNAcentral lists this ribosomal RNA (1356 nucleotides) under uncultured bacterium. Its description in RNAcentral is "partial 16S ribosomal RNA". It matches the Rfam family "Bacterial small subunit ribosomal RNA". The record is from RNAcentral.